CCCGGCACAAGCGUGGAGCAUGUGGUUUAAUUCGAAGCAACGCGAAGAACCUUACCAGGUCUUGACAUCCCGAUGCUAUUUCUAGAGAUAGAAAGUUACUUCGGUACAUCGGUGACAGGUGGUGCAUGGUUGUCGUCAGCUCGUGUCGUGAGAUGUUGGGUUAAGUCCCGCAACGAGCGCAACCCCUAUUGUUAGUUGCCAUCAUUCAGUUGGGCACUCUAGCGAGACUGCCGGUAAUAAACCGGAGGAAGGUGGGGAUGACGUCAAAUCAUCAUGCCCCUUAUGACCUGGGCUACACACGUGCUACAAUGGUUGGUACAGCGAGUUGCGAGUCGGUGACGGCGAGCUAAUCUCUUAAAGCCAAUCUCAGUUCGGAUUGUAGGCUGCAACUCGCCUACAUGAAGUCGGAAUCGCUAGUAAUCGCAGAUCAGAAUGCUGCGGUGAAUGCGUUCCCGGGUCUU
Molecule: ribosomal RNA, 461 nt
Filed under: uncultured Streptococcus sp.
Lineage: Bacteria; Bacillati; Bacillota; Bacilli; Lactobacillales; Streptococcaceae
Description: bacterial SSU rRNA
Rfam family: Bacterial small subunit ribosomal RNA
Source: RNAcentral